RNAcentral lists this small RNA (28 nucleotides) under Bombyx mori (domestic silkworm). Its description in RNAcentral is "ovarian small RNA-15119". Lineage: Eukaryota; Metazoa; Arthropoda; Insecta; Lepidoptera; Bombycidae. The record is from RNAcentral.
GAACACUCAUGAGCCUGUGGUACACGUU